UUUGCCGUUUAUGCAGAAAAGCCGUUCACUUCUAGCACGCGAGCCUUUGGUCUUUGUUUAACACAAACAUAGAGGUUCACGCGCUCGCACGUUUCAUCCUCCUCAUUUACUCCUCUGAUUCACCGUUUUCUUUCUGCACUAGCAACAGUGUGAAGCGUGCAGCGAAAGACGUCAUCACACCACCGGAAGACAGUGCUGUUCAUAUGUAAUAGUCGAUGAGUCUUUGUGCUUCUCUGACACCUGUGAGUGGGAAGAGGUGAUGCUAAAGCCUUCUGUUCUUUCACUCCAUCAACAUCUUGAGGGACAAAUGAAUAGGAGCCACGGACGUGGAAAUCAGUACCCCAUCUGGUGAUUAAUGCCUUUGAGACGUCUGGCACCGACCAG
Misgurnus anguillicaudatus (oriental weatherfish) is the source of this 384-nucleotide long non-coding RNA. RefSeq lists it as uncharacterized. Lineage: Eukaryota; Metazoa; Chordata; Actinopteri; Cypriniformes; Cobitidae. The record is from RefSeq and is a predicted model, not a curated record.